UAGGGAAUCUUCCGCAAUGGACGCAAGUCUGACGGAGCAACGCCGCGUGAGUGAAGAGGGAUUUCGGUUCGUAAAACUCUGUUGUUAGAGAAGAACAGCGCAUAGAGUAACUGUUAUGCGUGUGACGGUAUCUAACCAGAAAGCCACGGCUAACUACGUGCCAGCAGCCGCGGUAAUACGUAGGUGGCAAGCGUUGUCCGGAUUUAUUGGGCGUAAAGCGAGCGCAGGCGGUCAAUUAAGUCUGAUGUGAAAGCCCCCGGCUCAACCGGGGAGGGUCAUUGGAAACUGGUUGACUUGAGUGCAGAAGAGGAGAGUGGAAUUCCAUGUGUAACGGUGAAAUGCGUAGAUAUAUGGAGGAACACCAGUGGCGAAGGCGACUCUCUGGUCUGUAACUGACGCUGAGGCUCGAAAGCGUGGGUAGCAAACAGG
This 429-nucleotide ribosomal RNA is filed under the name Bacteroidota bacterium. Its description in RNAcentral is "Bacteroidetes bacterium partial 16S ribosomal RNA". It matches the Rfam family "Bacterial small subunit ribosomal RNA", at positions 355 to 776 of the family's 1533-position model. Lineage: Bacteria; Pseudomonadati; Bacteroidota. The record is from RNAcentral.